AGCGCAACCCUCGCCCUUUGUUGCCAUCGGGUAAAGCCGGGCACUCUAAGGGGACUGCCAGCGACAAGUUGGAGGAAGGAGAGGAUGACGUCAAGUCAUCAUGGCCUUUAUGCCUAGGGCCACACACGUGCAACAAUGGCCGGUACAGACGGAGGCAAUGCCGAGAGGCGGAGCAAACCCGAGAAAACCGGUCCCAGUUCGGAUUGAGGUCUGCAACUCGACCUCAUGAAGUCGGAAUCGCUAGUAAUCGCAUAUCAGAACGAUGCGGUGAAUACGUUCCCGGGCCUUGUACACACCGCCCGUCACACCACGAAACGUUUGUUGUACCCGAAGUCGGUGCCUUAACCUCGCAAGAGGAGAGAGCCGCCCAAGGUAUGGCCGAUGAUUGGGGUGAAGUCGUAACAAGGUAGCCGUAGGGGAACCUGCGGCUGGAUCACCUCCUUUCUAGGU
RNAcentral lists this ribosomal RNA (450 nucleotides) under uncultured bacterium. Its description in RNAcentral is "bacterial SSU rRNA". It matches the Rfam family "Bacterial small subunit ribosomal RNA", at positions 1095 to 1533 of the family's 1533-position model. The record is from RNAcentral.